GUGAAAAUAAGAUGUCAAUUUUAGUGUCUUUUGAUCAUCAGCAGAGACAGCCAUCAGCAAAAUAUUUACAUUUUCAGUGAUGAUUAUGGAUGAGGAUGCAUUAAUCAAGAGUGCUUUAUAUUUUAUAAGCUAAAUUAACAAAGAGAAAUUGUAUCUGUAGUUUCAUUAGGACUAGAAAGUGCCAAAAUCUGACCUCUAAGCAUGCCAAUAAUGAUUGGAAACCGUAAAAAUCAAGGCCUUAUGCCCUGAUAUUAAUUUAUUUUACCUAGUUUUUCAGUUAAUUCCUGCCAGUACUCCCAUUGAUGAUAGGAGCAAAGGAAUGCCCCAAAGCCUCCACAACUGUUAGAUUUGCAUGUGGAAGAGGAAUUGGAGAGUGGAUUAAAAAGAACUACCUGCGGUGCUGGUAACUGUUGUAAAUUUUUGUCUUUUUUUCCAUGAUCAUUCUUGAUGUUAUUGUGAGGUCUGUCUGUCCCUUUAGAGCAAUGCAAUCUGCUUAAAAUUGUGUCCAGCUGCUCCACAUUAUUCCAGCAUCCAUCGAACAUCCUUUUGAAUCAAUAUAUUUACUUCCUGCUCCUUACUUCUCCCUCCCCUACCCCCCCAAAAAACAAACAAACAAACAAAACCACACACCUCCAUGAAUAAGGCAGUACUAUUUUCUAAAAUGUUUUUUAUGGCCUAGUUUCCAAGGUGGCAAGAGGAAAAUUGCUCCUGAUUCUUAAUUUAGUUCAUCAGUUGAAAGAUGCCUUCAGCUGAGCUGGUAAGAAACAAGUAUCAGGCUGUGUAGAAACUGAUCCUUCCAGCAUUGUUUGUUCACUGUGGAUAAGGCAGAAUCAAAUCUAAACCAUAUGGGCCAAAACAAUUAAUCGCCAUUAUUAAGUCCAUGAAAAUAACUUGAAGCCUGUACUGACAGGACAAGACAUCAGAUACACUCAGGCAUGGUGGGAUUGUGAGGAAGCCAUUCAGGAGAAUUACAAGAAACAGCUGGAGGACCUAUAAGAAUGUUUUCUUUCUUACACAAGUUAAUUAAAAAUGUAGAAAGCAUUUUUUUUCUGUAGAAAAAAAAAAAAAAAAAACUCUAGAAAAAUGACAUUUCUAAUUUUCUUCUGUAAGAAGAAAUUGCUUCUUCGUGUGUGUAUCCCAGUAGUCCCAAAGUCUCUAUAGAGAGCCAGAAGAUUUAUAUUUGAGUGAAAGCAACUGCAUCACAUAUAGGAGCUUGCAAAAGUACAGUAAACAUCCUUCAAACAAAUUCUCAUGUGCUCUGACUACAAAGUGAAUGAAAAGCAAUACACAGGGUUGGAAAGAAACCACAUUUCUAAGUUGGUUUCAAUAGACUCUUAGUUUUCCCAGUGUAUUAGUACUCACUCUGAGUCUGCUACAUCCUGCUUUCUCCCCCACAACACAGCUGAA
Molecule: long non-coding RNA, 1407 nt
Filed under: Anas platyrhynchos platyrhynchos (common mallard)
Lineage: Eukaryota; Metazoa; Chordata; Aves; Anseriformes; Anatidae
Description: lncRNA (ENSAPLG00000027464.1)
Source: RNAcentral